CAGGCCUAACACAUGCAAGUCGAGCGAACAGACGAGGAGCUUGCUCCUUUGACGUUAGCGGCGGACGGGUGAGUAACACGUGGGUAACCUACCUAUAAGACUGGGAUAACUUCGGGAAACCGGAGCUAAUACCGGAUAAUAUUUCGAACCGCAUGGUUCGAUAGUGAAAGAUGGCUUUGCUAUCACUUAUAGAUGGACCUGCGCCGUAUUAGCUAGUUGGUAAGGUAACGGCUUACCAAGGCAACGAUACGUAGCCGACCUGAGAGGGUGAUCGGCCACACUGGAACUGAGACACGGUCCAGACUCCUACGGGAGGCAGCAGUAGGGAAUCUUCCGCAAUGGGCGAAAGCCUGACGGAGCAACGCCGCGUGAGUGAUGAAGGUCUUCGGAUCGUAAAACUCUGUUAUUAGGGAAGAACAAACGUGUAAGUAACUGUGCACGUCUUGACGGUACCUAAUCAGAAAGCCACGGCUAACUACGUGCCAGCAGCCGCGGUAAUACGUAGGUGGCAAGCGUUAUCCGGAAUUAUUGGGCGUAAAGCGCGCGUAGGCGGUUUUUUAAGUCUGAUGUGAAAGCCCACGGCUCAACCGUGGAGGGUCAUUGGAAACUGGAAAACUUGAGUGCAGAAGAGGAAAGUGGAAUUCCAUGUGUAGCGGUGAAAUGCGCAGAGAUAUGGAGGAACACCAGUGGCGAAGGCGACUUUCUGGUCUGUAACUGACGCUGAUGUGCGAAAGCGUGGGGAUCAAACAG
This 750-nucleotide ribosomal RNA is filed under the name uncultured bacterium. RNAcentral's name for it is "bacterial SSU rRNA". It matches the Rfam family "Bacterial small subunit ribosomal RNA", at positions 43 to 775 of the family's 1533-position model. The record is from RNAcentral.